ACUCUAAAGUUUUAUAAACUCGGUAGAAUUUAAUGUUUAUUGUUGACUGUAAGUUAAUGAACUGCAGCUUUAUCUAAAAUGUGUGUAUUUCUAAAGGUUAUCUUUAAAAACUCCUGCUGAAGCGACUGAGAUCCACCUGACACACUGUGAUAAAGAUGGCGUUUAUUAAAGAGGAGAGUGAAGACAUUAGGAUUAAAGACGUAUUCAGCAUGAAAGGAAGAAGAUACUGAGACACGAAUGAAGAUGGCGUUUAUUACAGAGGAGAGUGAAGACAUGAGGACUGAAGAAACAUUCAGCACGAAACGAGAAGAUACGCAGACACAAACAAACCUGGUGUUUAUUAAAGACGAGAGUGAAAACAUUAGGAUCGAAGACGUGUUCAGCAUCACAUGUGAAGAUAUAGAGACACAAACAUCUAUUAGAGAUAAGAAUAAAGGCAUGAAGACACAAACGUCUAUUAGAGAGAAGAGAGAAGACACGAAGAAGAAGAAACCAUUCAGAGUCAAGCAUGAAGAUGCUGAGACACAAACAGCCAGGAAGACAAGCCUGUC
This is a long non-coding RNA of Cyprinus carpio (common carp), 551 nucleotides long. RefSeq lists it as uncharacterized. The transcript is spliced from 3 exons. NCBI's taxonomy places the organism in Eukaryota, Metazoa, Chordata, Actinopteri, Cypriniformes, Cyprinidae. The record is from RefSeq and is a predicted model, not a curated record.